RNAcentral lists this ribosomal RNA (105 nucleotides) under Streptomyces doudnae. Its description in RNAcentral is "Streptomyces sp. DSM 41981 partial 23S ribosomal RNA". It matches the Rfam family "Bacterial large subunit ribosomal RNA", at positions 2820 to 2925 of the family's 2925-position model. The record is from RNAcentral. Lineage: Bacteria; Bacillati; Actinomycetota; Actinomycetes; Kitasatosporales; Streptomycetaceae.
UUGAUGGGUUAAGGCUCCCAGUAGACGACUGGGUUGAUAGGCCGGAUCUGGAAGCACGGUAACGUGUGGAGGUGACCGGUACUAAUAGGCCGAGGGCUUGUCCUC